RNAcentral lists this long non-coding RNA (6393 nucleotides) under Sus scrofa (pig). RNAcentral describes it as "lncRNA (ENSSSCG00035061660.1)". Lineage: Eukaryota; Metazoa; Chordata; Mammalia; Artiodactyla; Suidae. The record is from RNAcentral.
AGUUGAGGUGGGUCUGGUCAGGCCCAGCUGACCAGUGCUGAUGCCACAUCUGAAGCACUCGACCCCCAUCCUGCUGCAGACUUGGGGGCUUGGAGCCUGGGUGGCCGGUUCCUCUUCUCCCAGGUUCCCAAUACCAAGCGCCCCCACCCCCACCUGCUGCUGGCCUUGACCCAAGGUAGGAUGUGCCCUGCAGAAGAGGUUGGGGUGCUCCUGGACAGACCCCUGGCAGCCCUGCCUGCAGUUUCAAGGACAGUUGAGUUAGUCCCCCUCAACACAGGCGGUGGGGGAGCCACCUGCCCUGAAGUCUGGAUGACCUUGGGCAAGCAUGUGGCAUCUCCCAGAGAUAAUGACAGAGUGAGCCACUCACUCUGCAGCCGGCGGGGUGGAUGUGGCUCGCAGUUGGGCUGCAGAAGCAUCCAGGUGUGUCCUUUCCGUCCCUAACAGAGUUCCUGUCCCCCAGUGGGUUCCCAGGAGCCUAGGGCUUCGGCGGAGGACCCACCAGCAAGAGAGUGGAGUGAGAGACUAAAGAGCGGAGGUUUGAGUCAUUGUGAUGAGGCAACACUGUCAGAGACCAGAGGGGGACAGGGAGUAAGACCUCCCCUCCUCCCUAACCUGCAGAGGUUUCCCCACUGAGUCUGGAACAAAGCGCAGUCCAAGCCCUUGGCAGUGUGCCCAAGGCCACCUGCCAGGGGUCAGCUCCCGCGCCUCCCUCUCCAUCCUCUACCACCCUCUACCACCAGCUCACCUCCUCCAUGUGCCCCAGCUUCCUCCCUCUGCCCCGUGCUCCUCCCCUGACCUGAAAAGGCCCGCUCUGGUUAUAGGAUGGCUCAAGAGUGGCCUCUGCUCCCACCUCCCCCUUUGAGCUGACCUGGGCUGGCACAGAGUGGCGGCAGAGUCGGACUGGUCGAUGGGUUGAUGGCUUGGAGGUGGUGGGUGUGAGGACAGUGCUCCAGGACACGGGGCCAGGUCUGUCCCCACCCCGCUGCAUCCCCUUUGUCUCAGCCAGCGUAUUGGACAGCACAGGUUGGAAAACACAACUCCUAGACACAUUUUGUUGAUCCAGUGUCUUUCUCAUGUUCGCAUGUGUUGCCAACGCUGAACAACCAUACCAGACCCGAGCUGCUCUAGUGGGAUUCUUAACCCACUGCGCCACAGCAGGGACUCCCUGGACACAUCACUUAAUCGUCCCUUCUCUGCGUCUCAGCAUCCUGGGCUGUGAGGGACAUAAUGGGAAGAGCAGCUUCUCCUAAGAUGGGCGUGAGAUUGGAGUGAGUCAAUAUGCAUAACGUACUUACACUUUAAGUGGCUCCUAAAUGUCAGCUGUUAUUAAUAACACUUUAACCUGUACCAUCGUGAACCCUAUUUUUUCUGAUGAGAAAGGCGCAAAGCCAAAACUUUAUGGCCAGAAGUGGUGGUGACCUGAUUCAAGGGUGGCUGAAUCUGGGCUCCAAGCUCCGAUGCUAGGCUGCAUCCCCGCUUCAUUCCUGGGUCAGGGGCUCAGGGAAGGGGAGCAGGUGAGGGCUGUAGCCGGAGAAGGGUUUAUCUCUUCCAAAAGCUUCUGCUCCCCCAGCCUGAUCUCCGGGGGCUGCUCCUUGUCCACUGGUGGGACACCGGGCCAAGGCCCCUGAGUUCGGGGCUGCCCACCUCACCCAGGCAGCAAGCCUCAGGCCCCGUCCCCCACCCACAGGGGCUGGGCGGGGUCUGGCUGGGGAGGGCGGAGGAGGCUGGAGGGCCUCUUCCCGCUCCGGGUACCAGCUGCAAGCGGGAGGCAUCGCAGGCUAUUGAGAGCCACCAGAGAUGUGCCCUCGCCAGCUGGGAGGGGAGGCUGAGGCCAAGGCUGGAGCCAGGAGUGGAGUCUCACAGCGCUGGGGACCCCGGGCGGCCCCUGGCAGGGAGGGCAGUAGGAGGAAAGCUGUGUCCAGCCUCGGUUGCUUGAUCUUGGGAAAGUCUCAGCUCUCACCCUCAGUCUCCUCACCUGGGAAACGUGGGACCUGGGCCGCAUGGUUGCUGAAGUCCUUCCUGUCUCAAGCAGAUUCAGGGGGCUUAGGAGAGUCAAAAUGGCCCCCAUUUCCAGCAUAGAAAACCAAGGUUCAGUGAGGGUAUGGCCUCACAAUGGUGCAGACUCAUCCAGAGUUUAGGAUGGAGGGAGUUCCCAUUGUGGCUCAGGGCUAAUGAACCCGACUAGCAUCCAUGAGGAUGCCAUUUGAUCCCCGGCCUCUCUCAGUGGGUUAAGGAUUUGGCGUUGCUGUGAGCUGCAGUGUAGGUUGUCAGUGUGGCUUGGAUCUGAUGUAACUGUGGUGUAGGCCAGCAGCUGCAGCUCUGAUUCUACCCCCAGCCUGGGAACCUCCACAUGCCACACGUGCAGCCCUGAAAAGGAAAAAUUAAAGAGUCCAGGAUGGAAUCGAGGUUUCAGGCCCUUCUGUCCAGCAGGUUCUUACUGAGCACCAGCUCUGUGGCUUGAGGAAGUACCCCUUUAAUUCUGACAGAAACCCACCAUGUUCAAUGGGCAUUCUCACCCCAUUUUGCUGAUGGGCAAACUGAGGCUAAGGCAGGUGAUACAACCUCCCCAUGACCGCACAGGAAGAAGGGAGGUAGCCAGAAUUUGCACCAAGAAGGGACCACGAAAAGAUUUGAGAAUAUUCUCCUCCUUUUGAGCCAGAAUAGAAUGUUUGGUGGGGUCUGCAUUUGUGUCAAAGGACCAAGGGGGAGGGUGAGGACUUACCUGGAGUCUCUUGUGAGCUCCCCAUGGCCCUGACCCUUAAUGUGCAUGGAAGUGCGCGUGUGACAUUUUUCAGAGGACACAGUACUGAGACUUGGUGACCCGUGAAGGGAUAUGAAAUAGCUCAUUUUGUAGUUUGGAAAACUAGAGAAGUGGGGGCAGGAUGGGGCUCCUGGGGGGACCAGCAGCCGAGGCCAGAGCUUUCCCAGGCAUCUCACACAGGCUUCUUUCUGGGGCCAGAGGGCCCAGCUCUGGACACCUACCCACCCCCUGCCUCCCCUCCCCAUGCCCUGGCAGCAAAUAGGAGAGGCCACCUGUGAACAGACUGCUGUCCUGGGGUGAAAAACAUGAUCCCUGGCCUCGCUCAGUGGCUUCAGGAUCAGGGACAGGGGUCAGGGACACCCUUCAGAGAAGGUAUUUAGUGGCAGAGAACCAGACUGGGGCACUGGCCUUGGGGGCGCAGCAGGAGGGCUUCCCUCGGGGGGCGGGUGUCAGGGAGGCUCCCAGCUGCCCCCACCUUCCUGGGCACAGGCCAGCUCCACGUGGGAAUUCAAGGCCACUAAGCUGGGCCACUCCUUCUCCCCAGGCCCCUCUUGGGGGAUGCCCGCCCUGAGGGAGUGGGCACGACCUUCCCUUGCACUCUCCCCUGGCAUUGUCUAGACUGCAGCCAUGCUGGGCUCCUUGGACUCCCCAGAGCCUACAGGAUGGUACCAAGUGCAACGUUCAAUUCUCACCCUGCCCCCCAUUCGCUUAGUUCCCGCUUUGCUUGGAGAACUUAGUUCUUCAGACAGUCAUUUGUUCACUGAUUUGUUAACCAGCUAUUUAUUAAGUGCCUACUGUGUGCCAGGCACUGUGCCAGCUGCUGGGACAACAGCCAUGAACAAAGUCGCUGCCCUCCCGAUGCCUAAGUUCUAGCGGGGAACAGAGACGGUUGACGUUAUGCUGGACCGUGAUCCGCUCGACUGGGGACAAACUAAAGCAGAGAAAAGGGAGCACAGUCGGAGGGCCCUAGCUGAGAAGCUGCCGUUUGAGCAGAACUUGGAGGAAAUGAGCCAUGUGGAUCUCUGGGGGCAGAGGGAACAGCCACCAGGCAGGGAGCUGGCGUGUUCGCGGAACAGCGGGAAGACCAGCAGGUCUGGAGCAGAGGGAGGAGGAGACGGGUCAGAGGGGUGAAGUGAGGGCUGCUGUAAGGGCUUUGGAACGAGAUGGGAGUCAGUGGAGAAUGUUGAGCUGGGAUGUGAGGUGUCAUGUGAUCUGAUUGGGGUUUUUUUUUUUCCCCCCGCACUUGUGCCACAAGGAAGUUCCCCAGGCCAGGAUGGAACCCACGCCACAGUUGCAGCCUGCGCCACAGCUGUGGCAAUACCAGAUCCUUAACUCACGGUGCCACAGGGGAACUUUCCUGACUGGGAUUUGAUGGGCUCCCUGGCUGCUGUGUCAAGAGGAGAUUGAGGGGUGUGGGGGGCAGUUAGGAAGUUACUGCCGUAGCUGAGGGCCCGUGAGGGAGACCAGUGCGGUGAGAGCUGAGGAGGGAGCUCCAGCAUCUACUCCAGGUCUGGUUGAUUCCACAGCUACUUUAUGCAAAUACAAGCCAAUGAGGGACCUGUUCUGGUCUUCCUCCACUUUAAAGUAACACACUAAACAAAGUCUUGGGAGCUCUGGGAUGCAGGCUCAAUCCCCAGCCCGGCACAGGAGGUUAAAGAUCUGGUGUUGCCGCAGCUGCCACUCAGAUCUGAUCCCUGGCCCGGGAACUCCAUAUUGCCAUGGGGAGGUCAAAAAAGAAGCAGCAAAAACAGGAAGAGGCCAGGGACACAGCCCUCUGGGGGACAUCGAGCGUGCUACAGAAAUUUCAGAUGCACUCAGCCUUUAACCUGGCCACCCGUUUCUAGAACGGAUCAUAUGGCCACAGCUGCACACAGCAACUUGACUUAGGUUCAGGGCUACUCAUUGUAGCAGCAACAUGUUGAACACACCCAAUAUCUCUCCAUGAGGAUCUGGUUAAAUCAAAGCAGUGCAUAUACCUAUACACACCUUUUCAGCUCUGGGGACCUGGGUGUGGCUUGUCAGCAGCCCCUCCAACCUGCUGCCCCAGCUUCCUCCGCCCCCACCCAGCUUUGCACUUAGUGCUCAGCUGGCCCGGGUGCUGUCCACACCUCUGGUGCUGAACGGUGGUGCUGGAGGGAUGCCUGGACUGCAAACCAGAUACCAAGAGUAGGGAAAAGAUACAGCAGGAGACAUUCAAGGUUCAGUGCCUGGCUCUGCGUCUUGCCAGCUGAGUGACCUUGGGCAAAUUGCUUAACCCCUGUGAGCUCGAUAUCCUUAUGAGUACAAUCGGGUUGCUGUCGAGAUUGAAUGGUCGUUGUAAGGUACAGCAUUGGCAGUUGAGAAAAUAAAUGAUCAUUGAAAUGAUUGUUUUAGAGCCCGUAAGCAUAGUGGUUACACUUCGGGCACUGCUGAGAUCCAGCCUGGAUUUGAAUCCUGGCUCCUCCACUUCCCGAUGGAUGAUCUUGAUCAAGUGACAUGACCGUUCCCUGUCUCAGUUUCCCUGUCUGUAAAUUGGAGUGACUAGCAGUCCCCGGUUCAUUGGAUGCUGUGAGGAUGAGAUGAGUUAAUUUACAUGAGGGACUUGGCACAUGACGGGUGUUAGCUGUGCUAUAGCUUUCCUCUCCGUCGUCAUCAGCCCUCUCCACAUCGCGCGCCAGCCUCUCUGUUCACGUGACCCGUGUCCCUCACAGCCACUCCCAUCUCUGCUGUGUUGGGGCUGGGGCUGUAGGAGGAAGGCAGUACUUUGCCUUACAGACAGCCUGGCUUCGAGCCCAGCUCUGCCCCUGACUUUCUCUGUGAUUUUGAGCAAAAUUUUGAUUUGGUUUUCAUCACCGUUCUCUCCUGGCCCUCAGUCUCUGCACCUGUAAAACAGGGCCCGUGAUAUCGCACACAGGUCCCUGGGGAAAUAGCUAUGUGCCUGCCGGGUCAUAUCCUGGAAAGCUAAGAUACAGAGUUACAGCUUACCAGACACCUAAAAGAAUUAUUCACCCGGCAUUUGUCACCCCUGGCUAAAGGCUAGGAAGAUGAAAGCAUGGGGCUUGCUUUCAAGGAUCGCGCAGGUUUCUUGCUAGAUUGUUAAUCCUCUUCAAGGCCCAUUCAUGUGUCACCGCCUCCAGGAAGGCAUCUGGAUUCCCACCGCCAGCGUUCUUCUUGGAAAUGUUGGAGCGCUGAUCAUAGCCUUUCUGGCUUCGUGCUUAUCUGAGGCCUUAUUUUAUUUGCCUCCUUGAUUUGUAGGCUCCUACCCUCUGUCUGACCUACUCCCCCCUGUGCCAGCUCCCAGCGCAGUGCCUGGGCUCAAGUAGAUAUGCCUGUCUGGAAUCUGUAGGCUCUGAGUUACAUAAAUUCAACUCUAACUGGUUUAAGCCGAAAAGGAAAUGUAUUGGAGUUCCCAUCAUGGCUCGGCAGGUUAGAACCCAACUGGUAUCCAUGAGGAUGUGGGUUCGAUGCUUGGCCUCACUCAGUGGGUUAACCCUCACUCUGGUGUGGCUGCAAGCUGGGGUGUAGGUCGCAGACUCGGCUUCAAUCCUGCAUUGCUCUGGCUGUGGCAUAGACCCGCACCUGCAGCUCCGAUUCGACUCCUAGCCUGGGAACUUCCAUAGGCUGCACAUGCGGCCCUAAAAGAAAAGAAAAAA